RNAcentral lists this ribosomal RNA (440 nucleotides) under uncultured bacterium. Its description in RNAcentral is "bacterial SSU rRNA". It matches the Rfam family "Bacterial small subunit ribosomal RNA", at positions 340 to 773 of the family's 1533-position model. The record is from RNAcentral.
UACGGAAGGCAGCAGUGGGGAAUAUUGCACAAUGGGCGCAAGCCUGAUGCAGCCAUGCCGCGUGUAUGAAGAAGGCCUUCGGGUUGUAAAGUACUUUCAGUCGUGAGGAAGGUGUUAAGGUUAAUAACCUUAGCAAUUGACGUUAGCGACAGAAGAAGCACCGGCUAACUCCGUGCCAGCAGCCGCGGUAAUACGGAGGGUGCGAGCGUUAAUCGGAAUUACUGGGCGUAAAGGGCACGCAGGCGGUUAAUUAAGUUGGAUGUGAAAUCCCCGGGCUUAACCUGGGAAUGGCAUUCAAGACUGGUUAGCUAGAGUCUUGUAGAGGGGGUAGAAUUCCAUGUGUAGCGGUGAAAUGCGUAGAGAUGUGGAGGAAUACCGGUGGCGAAGGCGGCCCCUGGACAAAGACUGACGCUCAGUGUGCGAAAGCGUGGGGAGCAAAC